RNAcentral lists this ribosomal RNA (427 nucleotides) under uncultured bacterium. RNAcentral describes it as "bacterial SSU rRNA". It matches the Rfam family "Bacterial small subunit ribosomal RNA", at positions 355 to 774 of the family's 1533-position model. The record is from RNAcentral.
UGAGGAAUAUUGGACAAUGGGCGCAAGCCUGAUCCAGCAAUGCCGCGUGCAGGAUGAAGGCCUUCGGGUUGUAAACUGCUUUUGUACGGAGCGAAAAGGUCUGCCCUAAUACGGUGGGCUCAUGACGGUACCGUAAGAAUAAGCACCGGCUAACUACGUGCCAGCAGCCGCGGUAAUACGUAGGGUGCGAGCGUUAAUUGGAAUUACUGGGCGUAAAGCGUGCGCAGGCGGUUAUAUAAGACAGAUGUGAAAUCCCCGGGCUCAACCUGGGACCUGCAUUUGUGACUGUAUAGCUAGAGUACGGUAGAGGGGGAUGGAAUUCCGCGUGUAGCAGUGAAAUGCGUAGAUAUGCGGAGAAACACCGAUGGCGAAGGCAAUCCCCUGGACCUGUACUGACGCUCAUGCACGAAAGCGUGGGGAGCAAACA